Molecule: long non-coding RNA, 727 nt
Filed under: Oryza sativa (Asian cultivated rice)
Lineage: Eukaryota; Viridiplantae; Streptophyta; Magnoliopsida; Poales; Poaceae
Description: long non-coding RNA (OSAT_LNC000078)
Source: RNAcentral
AACCACGUCCGCUCCUUCGACGACUACAACGCGCCGCUCCUUGACCUCAUGGCCAGCUUACCGGCCGGCGACAAGGUAGGUGAUUCAGAUUAUGGUUCACUGUUCCAUCAACAUCUUUUACUCAAAGUCCAACUUCAGAUAAAUAUGUUUUACGUCAGUGGUCAACCAUUUAACCUGAUGCACAGUUCUCUUGUUUGUCAGGUAAUUUUGAUUGGACAUAGUGCAGGAGGUCUAAGCGUUGUCCAUGCAAUGCAUUUGUUUGGGGACAGAAUUAAGCAGGCAAUCUUCAUCGCAGCAACCAUGCUUCAGUUCGGCUACCAAACUGAACAAGACAUCAAAGAUGUGAUUCAUCUUUCCACUUUGCAAUGACUACAGUAGAAGCAUUUGUACGUUCUUCACUGAAAAAAAUUGAGUUGAAAAUUAACAGGGUGUACCUGAUUUAUCCGAGCAUGGAGAUGUGUAUGACCUGACAUUUGGUCUAGGAGCUGAUCAUCCGCCUACAGCUGUGGCAUUAAGAAAGGAGUUCCAACGCAUUAUUCUCUAUCAACAAAGCCCCCAAGAGGUACUACUACUGUAAGCAGCAUGGUUUCUUCUGAAUAAAUCUUGUUGCACAAGGAUUGCCUGCUUACUGUUUCUUCAGGACUCUGCACUAGCUUCCAUUCUACUCCGGCCAUGGCCAACGGCGCUCAGCACGGCCAGAUUCACCGGCGACGAUGGAGGAGUUGAG